AGCUACAGAAUCAGGGGAAAGCUGUCCACUCUGGGAGGUCUGACAACCUCAGGGAACUCGCCUCCCAGUGAGCAGGACAGGUGGCAUAGUCGCCAGGAUUUGGGGCUUGCUUCUAGGGCACUUCACUCACUUCACAGCUUUUAUGAGACCUGUUCUACCCGCCAGUUAGAGAGCUGAGGAUACAACAAUGUGCAGAGGAGAUGACAGCCCGUGCCUUUGGGAAACAAUAAAUCUACUCAGGAAAAAAAUGUGGAUUACCCAAAUUGCACAAAUACGUGUAAGAAUCCCAACUAUGAUCAGUGACCUGGUGGGGUACAUGGUCCUGUGAGCAUGAUGACAGCAUAAAGCAGACCCAGCCAGAGGGUUUUCCGAGAGGCUUGGGACUCCCAGGGCUGCUUCCGCUCAUUCAGAGUUUGCUGAAAAGUUGCUUGCUCGGAGAGGACCUCUGGGACCCCUGAAGUCGCCCUGCCUCACCCCACCCCUCCUUACUUCCUGCCACUCACUCUGCACCCCUUGCCUGAAUUACCCUCCAUGUCUAUUUGCCCCCCUUUCCAAGAAACCAUAAGGUCCAAGAGAGAAAGAACUUUGUCACUCUUUUGUUCUAGAACAGUGCUUAGCACAUAGUAGGCACUCAGCAGGUAUGUGUUGCAUGAAUGCCUGAUUGUGCUGCUUUCUAAAUGUCCUCUUGGGUGGUAGUCAGAGGGAGUGCAAGAGGACUGGGACCCUAGAUGGGGGGAACAUUCGGCAGUGGGUGGGCGUCACGGCCCCACAGGAGAUAGCUGGAGCAGAAGGGUGGAUGUGGUGGGCACGUGAGGAAUGCUGGGCUGACAGGGAGCUAGUCAGAUUCGCCUGGGAAGAGACCACUAAGGCGGCAGACCAGAGUGCACCAGGAUGGACCAGAUGGGCACAGCUGCCCAUUGGAAAGCCACUGCAGAGUGGAGGGAGAGGCCAGCCUGGCCUACAGGAUACAAACCAAGAGGUUCAAGAUCCGGGUUGGUUCUCGGCUCUGCUGGCUACUGUGUGAUAUCAGGCAAGACACCUAACCUCUCCAGACGUCAGUGUUUCCAUCUGCAGAAUGGAGAGUUCUGCAGUGUUGGCAUGGAUUAAAUGUGAGACUCCAAGUGAAGUGAGAUCAGGAAACUGAGGCACAGAGACAGUAAGAGAUCUGGCCACUGUAAUAGCUACUGGAGCUGCAACUCACACUCAAUUCUGGGUGUAGAAUCCAUCACCUAACCACUGUAUAUAGUCAGCAGUCAAGAAAGUUUCUUUAUUCUGAUUAUUUUAAUCCUACCCUGCAACCAAAAGGCUUUGACACCACCCCGUAGCCACUGCUAUUGCUGAAGCUGGAAGGAAGGGCUUCCCAGGUGGCCCGUUCCUUGCCUGACAGACUCAGAAAUCCAGAUACCCCAGAACUACUGACAACUGAGGCUGAUAAUUCUUUACUGUGGAGGUGUCCUGUGGAUUAUAGCAUCCCUGGCCUCCACCCGCUGGGGGGGCACACACACAUCAAGAGUGACAACCAAAAUGUGUCUGCAGACAUUGCCAAAGGUCCCCAGGAGAUACAGCUGCCCCCCCCCCCACUUGAGAACCACUGCACGAGCCCAGCUUCAGGCACAGCGUGGCUAUCUUGGGGCAGCAGAAGAGGGCCUGGGCCCUCAGUGCCCAUAUCAGAGGCAGGUGCCUAGGAUUGUUCUCUGCACCCAACACCAAAAAAAGAAUCCCCUCAAAUUAAACCAAGUACCAUCAGAGUACUGGAUGAUGCAAAGAUGGGAAUGCACAAAUGGCAUGCACCCCUCUGUUUCAGUCAGCUUUUCACCACCUGAUUUAUAAUACCCGAGAGGAUCUCCUAUUUUGGCUAAGGCUUUGGAGGUUCACAGUUCAAGAUUGGAUGGCCCCAAUAGUAAGGCAGCUGCCAGGAGCGAGGGAACCUGUGCAGGAACAAUCCUGCAGCAAGCCAGGAGGCAGAGGGAGAAGUUCAGUUGAACUCGGCAUACACAGCCAGUCCUCCAAUAACAGGGCAGACCCCAGGGACCUAAGGACCUCACACCAGCACCCCCCUCCCCUGCCAGACACCAUAAUUAGAUCAUGUCUCCACCCUCAAUCCAUCAACCAUUGACAGAAGGCUUUGGGGUUUGAAUGCGUCUGUGAGUUCAGGGAACCAAUUGCUGUUCAACCCUAACAACCUCCUUAAGUUCACAACAACAGUGUGGGCUUUCAGUCACUGCCAGCCAGACAGGAGACACGAUGAGGUGGGCACAGGGCUGCUCCUGGAGCCUUCAAAUCUUCCAAUCGGCUGUCACCGGCUCCCCCACAGGCCGGUCUCAAGCCACCCAUCAGCUAAGCUAAUCAAGUGCAGAGAGAAAUGGCGAGAGACUCAUCAAGAGACUUUCCAGGCUGAGUUUCCCUACUGGGGACUUCCCUGGGGUGCUUCACAGGACUUGGGCGGGAUGGGACCACAGUUCUCUAUCUACCAAGGGAACAGAUCUGCCUCCCCCCCUCACCCCUUCCCCUCAUUCCAGUCACCCCAUCCCUGCACCAACUGACUGCUCCAAGUUCAGGAUCAUAUGAUUUGUGGUGGCAAAUCCACCUCUUCCACAUGUUCUCUGUUCCCACUGGCCAUAGCUGAAGAAGCAAACUUAACCACAAACCUCCCAUCUGUGAAGCCCUUCCAAACUCUCAAAGUCCCAAGAUCACCCAAGAAUAAGAGGAGUACGAAGGCGGAAAAACAAUCACAAAUACUAAAUAAGUAAAUGUCCAUAGAACUUGAAUGACCUCUAAAUGUUGUGUCUGAAUUUUAGGUCUGUUCUCCAUUCGCAAUGCCUUCUCAGUAUACAAUUACAUUUUAAAUAGAUAAUCCUCUGUAGAACAGUUCUUAUGUAAACAGCCAGUAAUUUUGAUGUAUUAGAAUUAAAAGAAAUUUCCUAAGGCCAAAUUCUGCCAUAUUUUAAGAAAUGUGCCUUGGUUAUUCCAGGAAUAAUUUUGCUUCAGGGACCCAAUUAAAGUUAUCAAAACUGUAGUUUCUUCUGGAUGCUAAAGAUGCAAUAUAUUUCACACAUGCUUCUACAGGUUAUUAUUUUCAGGGAUUGCAUUUUACAGAUUUAAAAAAAAAAAUCUUCAACCGAGGGGAAGAGUUUCAGAAGAUCACAUAAUUCUAAGCUGCAAACAAGAAGCACAAAGCUCUGCAAUCAUGAAGCCUGCAGUGAAAGAGCGCGGGCUGCUCAGACAGUCGAAAUCGGUUUGCUGGCUGGGAUUUUCAAUGCUUUUAAGUUUAAGAUGCGCUAAGCACAGUUCAGGCGAGGCAUAAUCAAGAAAUGGUUGUUUGUUUCGGCUGCUGCAAAAUUACGGGGUGUCCCAUGUGGGCUGGCAUCUUGUGCAUUUGUACAUACAGCAAUUACCCUGCGAGAUUCCUGACGCUCCCUGCUUUCCCUGGGAAGAAAGGGAAAGAAUGACAGGGACAGCUGACAGCGGGCUUUCAAAUGUCUCAGUCCUCGCAGCCGCAACCGUUAAAAGUAUGGGCCAGGCAGAGCCGCCACAGAGUGGGAGAGGCAAGGGGAGGGUGGGGUUACGUGACAAACGGAGCAGGCCAAUAAAAACAGUUCUGUUUGCGA
Non-coding RNA from Oryctolagus cuniculus (rabbit), 3608 nucleotides. Lineage: Eukaryota; Metazoa; Chordata; Mammalia; Lagomorpha; Leporidae. The record is from RefSeq and is a predicted model, not a curated record.